UACGUAGGGGCCGAGCGUUGUCCGGAGUUAUUGGGCGUAAAGCGCGCGCAGGCGGCCUCGCGCGCCCGACGUGAAAGCCCCCGGCUUAACCGGGGAGGGUCGUUGGGGACGGCGGGGCUUGAGGGCGGGAGAGGGUGGUGGAAUUCCCGGUGUAGUGGUGAAAUGCGUAGAGAUGUGGAGGAACACCAGUGGCGAAGGCGGCUCUUUGGUCUGUAACUGACGCUGAGGCGCGAAAGCGUGGGGAGCAAACAGG
This 253-nucleotide ribosomal RNA is filed under the name uncultured bacterium. RNAcentral's name for it is "partial 16S ribosomal RNA". It matches the Rfam family "Bacterial small subunit ribosomal RNA", at positions 524 to 776 of the family's 1533-position model. The record is from RNAcentral.